GCCUGGUUAGCAUAAUGGUUAGUGCGUUUCUCUCCUAUAGUCCGGGGUUCAAAUCCCGGACACUGAGCGAAGAAAUGAUCUGGAUUCGAGUUCCAGGCCGGGCU
Molecule: non-coding RNA, 104 nt
Organism: Coemansia sp. RSA 1836
Lineage: Eukaryota; Fungi; Kickxellomycota; Kickxellomycetes; Kickxellales; Kickxellaceae
Source: the annotation of a GenBank genome assembly